UGGGGAAUCUUGGCCAAUGGGGGAAACCCUGAUCCAGCCAUCCCGCGUGUGCGAUGAAGGCCUUCGGGUUGUAAAGCACUUUUGGCAGGAAAGAAACGUCAUGGGUUAAUACCCCGUGAAACUGACGGUACCUGCAGAAUAAGCACCGGCUAACUACGUGCCAGCAGCCGCGGUAAUACGUAGGGUGCAAGCGUUAAUCGGAAUUACUGGGCGUAAAGCGUGCGCAGGCGGUUCGGAAAGAAAGAUGUGAAAUCCCAGAGCUCAACUUUGGAACUGCAUUUUUAACUACCGGGCUAGAGUGUGGCAGAGGGAGGUGGAAUUCCGCGUGUAGCAGUGAAAUGCGUAGAUAUGCGGAGGAACACCGAUGGCGAAGGCAGCCUCCUGGGAUAACACUAACGCUCAUGCACGAAAGCGUGGGGAGCAAACA
This 427-nucleotide ribosomal RNA is filed under the name Acidobacteriota bacterium. RNAcentral's name for it is "Acidobacteria bacterium partial 16S ribosomal RNA". It matches the Rfam family "Bacterial small subunit ribosomal RNA", at positions 355 to 774 of the family's 1533-position model. Lineage: Bacteria; Pseudomonadati; Acidobacteriota. The record is from RNAcentral.